Molecule: small RNA, 893 nt
Filed under: Paraconiothyrium cyclothyrioides
Lineage: Eukaryota; Fungi; Ascomycota; Dothideomycetes; Pleosporales; Didymosphaeriaceae
Description: eukaryotic LSU rRNA
Rfam family: Eukaryotic large subunit ribosomal RNA
Source: RNAcentral
GCGGAGGAAAAGAAACCAACAGGGAUUGCCCUAGUAACGGCGAGUGAAGCGGCAACAGCUCAAAUUUGAAAUCUGGCUCUCUUUGGGGGUCCGAGUUGUAAUUUGCAGAGGAUGCUUUGGCAUUGGCGGCGGUCUAAGUUCCUUGGAACAGGACAUCGCAGAGGGUGAGAAUCCCGUACGUGGGCGCCUGCCUUUGCCGUGUAAAGCUCCUUCGACGAGUCGAGUUGUUUGGGAAUGCAGCUCUAAAUGGGAGGUAAAUUUCUUCUAAAGCUAAAUACCGGCCAGAGACCGAUAGCGCACAAGUAGAGUGAUCGAAAGAUGAAAAGUACUUUGGAAAGAGAGUCAAAAAGCACGUGAAAUUGUUGAAAGGGAAGCGCUUGCAGCCAGACUUGCCCGCAGUUGCUCACCUAGGCUUUGGCCUGGGGCACUCUUCUGCGGGCAGGCCAGCAUCAGUUUGGGCGGUCGGACAAAGGCCUCUGUCAAGUAUCUCCCUUCGGGGUGACCUUAUAGGGGAGGCGUAAUGCGACCAGCCCGGACUGAGGUCCGCGCAUCUGCUAGGAUGCUGGCGUAAUGGCUGUAAGCGGCCCGUCUUGAAACACGGACCAAGGAGUCUAACAUCUAUGCGAGUGUUUGGGUGUCAAGCCCGGGCGCGCAAUGAAAGUGAACGGAGGUGGGAACCCUUUGGGUGCACCAUCGACCGAUCCUGAUGUCUUCGGAUGGAUUUGAGUAAGAGCAUAGCUGUUGGGACCCGAAAGAUGGUGAACUAUGCUUGAAUAGGGUGAAGCCAGAGGAAACUCUGGUGGAGGCUCGCAGCGGUUCUGACGUGCAAAUCGAUCGUCAAAUUUGGGCAUAGGGGCGAAAGACUAAUCGAACCAUCUAGUAGCUGGUCCUGC